RNAcentral lists this ribosomal RNA (370 nucleotides) under uncultured organism. RNAcentral's name for it is "bacterial SSU rRNA". It matches the Rfam family "Bacterial small subunit ribosomal RNA", at positions 526 to 896 of the family's 1533-position model. The record is from RNAcentral.
CGGAGGGUGCAAGCGUUAUCCGGAUUCGACUAGGUUUAAAGGGUGCGUUAGGCGGGUUGGUAAGUCCGUGGUGAAAUCCCCAAGCUUAACUUGGGAACUGCCGUGGAUACUAUCAAUCUUGAAUGUCGUGGAGGUAAGCGGAAUAUGUCAUGUAGCGGUGAAAUGCUUAGAUAUGACAUAGAACACCAAUUGCGUAGGCAGCUUACUACACGAUAAUUGACGCUGAGGCACGAAAGCGUGGGGAGCAAACAGGAUUAGAUACCCUGGUAGUCCACGCCCUAAACGAUGGAUACUCGACAUCAGCGAUACACUGUUGGUGUCUGAGCGAAAGCAUUAAGUAUCCCACCUGGGAAGUACGAUCGCAAGAUUG